Molecule: RNA transcript, 2478 nt
Organism: Onychomys torridus (southern grasshopper mouse)
Lineage: Eukaryota; Metazoa; Chordata; Mammalia; Rodentia; Cricetidae
Gene: Hdac1
Gene name: histone deacetylase 1
Exons: 13
Source: RefSeq, a predicted model, not a curated record
CCUCCCCCGGGUCGGACGCCUUGAGGAGCCGCGGGCGGGCGGGCGGACGGACUGACGGGAGGGCCGGGCGGUGAGCAAGAUGGCGCAGACUCAGGGCACCAAGAGGAAAGUCUGUUAUUACUACGAUGGUGAUGUUGGAAACUACUAUUAUGGACAAGGCCACCCGAUGAAGCCUCACCGAAUCCGCAUGACUCACAAUUUGCUGCUCAACUAUGGUCUCUACCGAAAAAUGGAAAUCUAUCGUCCUCACAAAGCCAAUGCUGAGGAGAUGACCAAGUACCACAGUGAUGACUACAUUAAGUUCUUGCGUUCCAUUCGCCCAGAUAACAUGUCUGAGUACAGCAAGCAGAUGCAGAGAUUCAACGUUGGUGAGGACUGUCCAGUGUUCGAUGGCCUGUUUGAAUUCUGUCAGCUGUCUACUGGUGGCUCUGUGGCAAGUGCUGUGAAACUGAAUAAGCAGCAGACGGACAUCGCCGUGAACUGGGCUGGGGGUCUGCAUCAUGCAAAGAAGUCUGAAGCAUCUGGUUUCUGUUACGUCAAUGAUAUCGUCUUGGCCAUCCUGGAACUGCUAAAGUAUCACCAGAGGGUGCUGUAUAUUGACAUUGAUAUUCACCAUGGCGAUGGUGUGGAAGAGGCCUUCUAUACCACGGACCGGGUCAUGACUGUGUCCUUUCAUAAGUACGGAGAAUACUUCCCAGGAACUGGGGACCUACGGGAUAUUGGGGCUGGCAAAGGCAAGUACUAUGCUGUUAACUACCCCCUCCGAGAUGGGAUCGAUGACGAGUCCUAUGAAGCUAUUUUCAAGCCAGUCAUGUCCAAAGUAAUGGAGAUGUUCCAGCCUAGUGCUGUGGUCUUACAGUGUGGCUCAGACUCCCUAUCUGGAGAUCGGUUAGGUUGCUUCAAUCUGACCAUCAAAGGGCAUGCCAAGUGUGUGGAGUUUGUCAAGAGUUUCAACUUGCCCAUGCUAAUGCUGGGAGGAGGUGGAUACACCAUCCGCAAUGUUGCUCGCUGUUGGACUUAUGAAACAGCCGUGGCCCUGGACACAGAGAUCCCUAACGAGCUACCAUACAAUGACUACUUUGAAUACUUUGGACCGGACUUCAAGCUUCACAUCAGCCCUUCUAACAUGACUAACCAGAACACUAAUGAAUAUCUGGAAAAGAUCAAGCAGCGGCUCUUUGAGAACUUGAGAAUGCUGCCCCAUGCUCCUGGUGUCCAAAUGCAGGCCAUACCCGAGGAUGCCAUCCCAGAGGAGAGUGGUGAUGAGGACGAAGAAGACCCUGACAAACGCAUUUCCAUCUGCUCCUCUGACAAACGAAUUGCCUGUGAAGAAGAAUUCUCUGAUUCAGAUGAGGAGGGAGAAGGUGGUCGCAAGAACUCAUCUAAUUUCAAAAAAGCCAAAGUAGUCAAAACAGAGGAUGAAAAAGAAAAAGAUCCAGAAGAGAAAAAAGGUGGGUUUGGAUUAAACCAGGACUUGGGUUUAUGUAGGACACAGGAAAGAGCUGACCCAGGCCCAGCUAGCUUCUGGGGAGCAUUAGUUAACUGAAUUCCUUGGGCCUUUCAGUGGCUCCUAGAAGUAGCAAGACCCACAGAACAAUGACUCUUGGUCUGUGCUGGCUGACCAGCUCUCACGUACCACCCAAGCCCUUUUCCUAGCACUUUGCCCUGUUUCCCAGGGGGCUGCCUCUGCCUGUGUUCUGGCUAAAACUGGCUGGGAAACUGGUCUAACCUGUUUGUUUUCAGCCAGACUCACCAGACCUGGGAUGGGCUUUUCUCAUUUCUCUAGAACCAGUGAACUGUAAUGUUGAAAAGAAGGGAUUCAGGGUAGAAGAGUCCCACUGCUUGAGCUGGGUCUUGUGAGGCUUUCAACCAUCCUGUGCUCUUAUGUUCUAGAAGUCACAGAAGAGGAGAAAACCAAGGAGGAGAAGCCAGAAGCCAAAGGGGUCAAAGAAGAGGUCAAGUUAGCCUGAGCAAGAUCUGCAACUGUGGCCUCUCCAAGUUCCUCACUUUCCCCAGUCUCUCAGAUUUUAUAUUUUCUAUUCCUCUGUGUAUUUAUAUAAAAUAUAUUAAAUAUAAUGUCCCCAGGGACCAGAGCCCAGGGCAGUGGUGCUGGGGGAAUUCUUCCCAAAGACCCCUUGUCCAUCCUGCUCAGGUCUUAAGUUUUGAACCACGUAGGGUCUGAGUGGAAAGAAAACAACCAGAAGACAAAAUCCUGAACUGCCAAGUGCCUGCUUUAGGAGCUCUGUUAAGAUGCCCUUAUGAAGCUUUCUAGAAGGGGUGACUGGCUCUUCUGGGGCCCCUUAGGUAAUAUCAGCCAAUUUUAAGAUUGGUAUACCUUCCCACUGGACUCAGGCAAGCAGAAAAACUCCCAUUGCCCUAUCUUCCCCUAACUCUGCAGGUGGAGGUGUUAGCCCAGCAGCUUCCUUUUUGAGAUAUUUUCAUUUUUAGACUUUGUAAUAAAGCAGCACAUUUCUACAC